GAUGAACGCUGGCGGCGUGCUUAACACAUGCAAGUCGAACGGGAAACCUUUUAUUGACGCUUCGGCAGCUUUAGCUGGCUUCUAGUGGCGGACGGAGGAGUAACGCCUGGGUAACGUGCCUUCUACAGGGGAAUAACAGUCAGAACUGACUGCUAAUACCGCAUCAGCGUCUGGGACCGAAUGUUCCGGUGGGUAAAACUCCGGUGGUAUAAGAUGGACCCGCGUUGGAUUAGCUUGGUGGUGGGGUCACGGCCGACCAAGGCGACGAUCCAUGGCCGGCAUGAGAGCGUGCACGGCUGGAUUGGGACUGAGACACGGCCCAGACUGCUACGGGAGGGUGCAGUGGGGAAUAUUGCGCAAGGAGGGCAACCGUGAUACAGCGGCGUGCCGUGAAGGAGGAAGUAUCUCGUUAUGUAAACUUCUAUCAGCAGAGAAGUGAGUGACGGUACCUGACAAAGAAGCCCCGGCUAACUACGUG
This 478-nucleotide ribosomal RNA is filed under the name uncultured bacterium. RNAcentral describes it as "partial 16S ribosomal RNA". It matches the Rfam family "Bacterial small subunit ribosomal RNA", at positions 28 to 507 of the family's 1533-position model. The record is from RNAcentral.